GAAAUUAUGGUUACACAAUCCGUGGGGAUAGGUUUAAAGGAAUUUAUCCACUGCUCCCAAACGAACUAGUAGCUCCAGGAGAUAAUUCUUCCCCACCACUGAGUAGAAUGUAUCAAGAACUAGGAGAUAUAUGGAAUGAUGCCAAGACUCAAUCAACACCUCUCUAUCCUAGAGUUACCAUGGCAAAGGACCUCAUGGUAGCUCAAUAAAAGAAAGCACAGGGAGAAAUGGAUAACGCUGGUGAGGUUAUCAGACGAGGUCGUAAUGAUGAAGAUAAAGAGCAAAGUCUAAGUGGUAAUCACACAGUGAAUGGAGAGAACAGAAGAGAGGAAGAUGAACUGAUACGACUGAGAACGGAAUAUGAAGAAAAAAUUAAAACUGAACAAACAGGAGACAGUGGGAGGAGAAGAAGAGAGGAGAGAGAAUGUGAAUAAUUCACUGAACACGAGAGUGGAACUGCCCUUCACCCAUUUCAGACAAGCACUCUACCGACAGUUAAGGGAAUGUUUCCCACCACCAGAGGUGUUGCAAGACCGGGUGAACUGCUCUUCACUGAAGAUGAUGAUACCCUCGAUUAGAUGGAUAAGAUGAAGACAGAAUGGCAAGGAGAGACAACUGAGAGAUUUGAAGGCCCUAAUAAGGGGGACCACAUUAGACACUACUGCGGAGCCUGGAAAAAGAUGAAGACUGAGGACAGAGCAAGAAAGGCUGGACUCGUCGCGCAGCUUAAGAAGGCCCAGCUAGCUCAGCCGGACAAAGGAAAGACCAGCAACCUGAUGGUGGCUGAACCUCGUGCCACCCAGCAGCAACAACCACCACAGCCUCUUCCACCACCUCCUUCACAGUUUACCCAAGCACCUGCAGCUCAGUUCCCUCCUCAACCAUAUGGGAACCCACAACCAUACCUACCAACACUGAGACAACCGCUGGUGUGCUGGAAUUGCGGAAUGACAGGUCAUAUGAGAAACAUGUGCCCUCACCAACCACAGCAUCAGUCACCCUGGCAGCAGAGUGGAAGAGGUCAAUGGAGAGGGAAUGCUGGCAGAUGGAACUUCCAAUGGUGGCUUGCCUGUCUUGGAUAGGGGUUUGGAAAGGUAUUUGUAUUCCCAAUACAGGAAAGCCCAGGACGUUCCAGAACAGGGCGACCCAGACAGCCUGCCUGUUGACGUUGGAGAAUGGAUCAAGCUGAAGGGCAUAGACACUAUCAGAAGGCGUCUACGUUCAGACUCCUCCUGUCUGGAUCCCACCGUGGUUGUCUGGUUUUCUGAGAACACAAAGUUGCCACAGACCUGAUGAAACCAGCCCCCUGUCAGAAGAUGCUUACACUCGUUCACAUUGUUAUGACUUUAUACUUGUGAUGAAAGGUCAAGUUUCGGUCAAACCCAAUUCUGAGUUUGUACUUAGUGAUAAGAUGGUUCUCGCUGUCAGGGGGAGGUUAGAUUUAUUAAAAUGUUGUUGCUAGGGAAAGUUACGUAAGGGGGAUUGGGGAGGCUAUAUGAGUUACAGGAUGUCUUAGACAUUUUGCAGAACUUGGGGAGAACUAUCAUAUGCUGUUAAACUGUACUCUGUAUCAACUUCUGCCUACAAUUGUAUUACUACAAGGAGUAUUUUAAUUAUUAAAGAGUCUGUGCUUCCUUUCCA
Molecule: long non-coding RNA, 1641 nt
Organism: Oncorhynchus tshawytscha (Chinook salmon)
Lineage: Eukaryota; Metazoa; Chordata; Actinopteri; Salmoniformes; Salmonidae
Source: Ensembl